This 488-nucleotide ribosomal RNA is filed under the name uncultured bacterium. Its description in RNAcentral is "bacterial SSU rRNA". It matches the Rfam family "Bacterial small subunit ribosomal RNA", at positions 153 to 636 of the family's 1533-position model. The record is from RNAcentral.
AAAAGGAACGCUAAUMCCGCAUACGCCCCAAGGGGGAAAGCGGGGGAUCUUCGGACCUCGUGCUAUAGGAGGAGCCUGCGUCGGAUUAGCUAGUUGGUGAGGUAAAGGCUCACCAAGGCGACGAUCCGUAGCUGGUCUGAGAGGAUGAUCAGCCACACCGGAACUGAGACACGGUCCGGACUCCUACGGGAGGCAGCAGUGGGGAAUAUUGCGCAAUGGGCGAAAGCCUGACGCAGCCAUACCGCGUGUGUGAAGAAGGCCUUCGGGUUGUAAAGCACUUUCAGUGGGGAGGAAAAGCUGGUGGCUAAUAUCCAUCGGCCGUGACGCUACCCACAGAAGAAGCACCGGCUAAUUCCGUGCCAGCAGCCGCGGUAAUACGGAAGGUGCGAGCGUUAAUCGGAAUUACUGGGCGUAAAGCGCACGUAGGUGGCUUGGUAAGUCGGAUGUGAAAGCCCCGGGCUCAACCUGGGAACUGCAUUCGAUACUGC